UACGUAGGCAGCGAGCGUUGUCCGGAAUUACUGGGCGUAAAGCGCGUGUAGGCGGCCCAGCAAGUCGGCUGUGAAAGCCCUGGGCUUAACCUAGGAAGUGCAUUCGAAACUGCUGGGCUUGAGUUCUGGAGAGGAAGGCGGAAUUCUCGGUGUAGAGGUGAAAUUCGUAGAUAUCGAGAGGAACACCGGUGGCGAAGGCGGCCUUCUGGACAGUGACUGACGCUGAGACGCGAAAGCGUGGGGAGCAAACAGG
This 253-nucleotide ribosomal RNA is filed under the name uncultured bacterium. Its description in RNAcentral is "partial 16S ribosomal RNA". It matches the Rfam family "Bacterial small subunit ribosomal RNA", at positions 524 to 776 of the family's 1533-position model. The record is from RNAcentral.